AUACGUAGGGUGCAAGCGUUAAUCGGAAUUACUGGGCGUAAAGCGUGCGCAGGCGGUUUUGUAAGACAGUGGUGAAAUCCCCGGGCUCAACCUGGGAACUGCCAUUGUGACUGCAAGGCUGGAGUGCGGCAGAGGGGGAUGGAAUUCCGCGUGUAGCAGUGAAAUGCGUAGAUAUGCGGAGGAACACCGAUGGCGAAGGCAAUCCCCUGGGCCUGCACUGACGCUCAUGCACGAAAGCGUGGGGAGCAAACAGGAUUAGAUACCCUGGUAGUCCACGCCCUAAACGAUGUCAACUGGUUGUUGGGGAUUUAUUUUCUCAGUAACGAAGCUAACGCGUGAAGUUGACCGCCUGGGUAGUACGGCCGCAAGGUUAAAACUCAAAGGAAUUGACGGGG
Molecule: ribosomal RNA, 395 nt
Filed under: uncultured bacterium
Lineage: Bacteria
Description: partial 16S ribosomal RNA
Rfam family: Bacterial small subunit ribosomal RNA
Source: RNAcentral